Bos taurus (domestic cattle) is the source of this 559-nucleotide long non-coding RNA. Lineage: Eukaryota; Metazoa; Chordata; Mammalia; Artiodactyla; Bovidae. The record is from Ensembl.
GAGACUUGUCUGGUUUUUGUCCCCGAGAUGAGGACACAUCCCAUCAAGUAUGGUCAGAAGAUGUGUUGGAUCAGACUCUCUGACAGUGUGUUCUGGUCCCCACCGCUCUGGAACUGAAUCAGAACCUCUGCAGAUAGCACCCUGGGAGCUCCAAAACCUGCAGGAGACUGAACUUCCACUACUGAGCUGCACUCCCCUUACCCCAACUGCCGGAUCACUAAGAACCAGAGGAAGAGGAGAUGGAGGUAUUGAUGCCUUGAAUCUGUACAGAGACUCUCAAAGACACAAUAAAGAAAAUCAAAUUACAAGUUCCCUCCUGCUGCUGCCAGAAGAGAUGGCGUUGGCAUUUCCCCAACUGCUAAUGCGCUUUAACUGGCUUCAGACAUUCCAAGGGACAGUGAUCAAAGUUCAUCCAAUACAUCAGCAAAGUAGACACUGUUGAAGUCAUCGAUGGGCAAACAAACCUUCAUGCCACCUCAUAUGUGCAUAGCACUUUAAUGACUCUGUAGAGGUUUGAAGACUCUUCAGAGAUUACAAAGCACUUUUACAUAUCUCAUUC